GCGCGAAACCUCCGCAAUGUGAGAAAUCGCGACGGGGGGAUCCCAAGUGCCAUUCUUAACGGGAUGGCUUUUCAUUAGUGUAAAGAGCUUUUGGAAUAAGAGCUGGGCAAGACCGGUGCCAGCCGCCGCGGUAACACCGGCAGCUCUAGUGGUAGCAGUUUUUAUUGGGCCUAAAGCGUCCGUAGCCGGUUUAAUAAGUCUCUGGUGAAAUCUUGCAGCUUAACUGUGGGAAUUGCUGGAGAUACUAUUAGGCUUGAGAUCGGGAGAGGUUAGAGGUACUCCCAGGGUAGAGGUGAAAUUCUGUAAUCCUGGGAGGACCACCUGUGGCGAAGGCGUCUAGCUGGAACGAUUCUGACGGUGAGGGACGAAAGCUAGGGGCGCGAACCGG
This 388-nucleotide ribosomal RNA is filed under the name uncultured Methanobrevibacter sp. RNAcentral's name for it is "bacterial SSU rRNA". It matches the Rfam family "Archaeal small subunit ribosomal RNA", at positions 339 to 727 of the family's 1478-position model. Lineage: Archaea; Methanobacteriati; Methanobacteriota; Methanobacteria; Methanobacteriales; Methanobacteriaceae. The record is from RNAcentral.